This 422-nucleotide ribosomal RNA is filed under the name uncultured bacterium. RNAcentral describes it as "bacterial SSU rRNA". It matches the Rfam family "Bacterial small subunit ribosomal RNA", at positions 355 to 774 of the family's 1533-position model. The record is from RNAcentral.
UAAGGAAUAUUGGACAAUGGAGGCAACUCUGAUCCAGCCAUGCCGCGUGAAGGAAUAAGGCCCUAUGGGUUGUAAACUUCUUUUAGACGGGACAAAACCCCUUUACGUGUAAAGGGUUGAUGGUACUGUCAGAAUAAGCGUCGGCUAACUUCGUGCCAGCAGCCGCGGUAAUACGAAGGAUGCAAGCGUUAUCCGGAAUUAUUGGGUUGAAAGGGUGCGUAGGCGGACUAAUAAGUCAGUGGUGAAAGCCUGCAGCUUAACUGCAGAAUUGCCAUUGAUACUGUUAGUCUUGAGUACAGUUGAGGUAGGCGGAAUGUGUCAUGUAGCGGUGAAAUGCUUAGAUACGACACAGAACACCGAUUGCGAAGGCAGCUUGCUAAGCUGUAACUGACGCUGAGGCACGAAAGCGUGGGGAGCAAACA